ACUCCUACGGGAGGCAGCAGUGGGGAAUAUUGCACAAUGGGCGCAAGCCUGAUGCAGCCAUGCCGCGUGUAUGAAGAAGGCCUUCGGGUUGUAAAGUACUUUCAGCAGUGAGGAAGGCGGAGUCGUUAAUAGCGGCCUCGUUUGACGUUAGCUGCAGAAGAAGCACCGGCUAACUCCGUGCCAGCAGCCGCGGUAAUACGGAGGGUGCGAGCGUUAAUCGGAAUUACUGGGCGUAAAGCGCAUGCAGGUGGUUUGUUAAGUCAGAUGUGAAAGCCCGGGGCUCAACCUCGGAAUUGCAUUUGAAACUGGCAGACUAGAGUACUGUAGAGGGGGGUAGAAUUUCAGGUGUAGCGGUGAAAUGCGUAGAGAUCUGAAGGAAUACCAGUGGCGAAGGCGGCCCCCUGGACAAAGACUGACGCUCAGAUGCGAAAGCGUGGGGAGCAAACAGGAUUAGAUACCCUGGUAGCACAGAG
RNAcentral lists this ribosomal RNA (473 nucleotides) under uncultured bacterium. RNAcentral's name for it is "bacterial SSU rRNA". It matches the Rfam family "Bacterial small subunit ribosomal RNA", at positions 335 to 799 of the family's 1533-position model. The record is from RNAcentral.